GAUGAACGCUGGCGGCGUGCCUAAUACAUGCAAGUCGAGCGAACGGACGAGAAGCUUGCUUCUCUGAUGUUAGCGGCGGACGGGUGAGUAACACGUGGAUAACCUACCUAUAAGACUGGGAUAACUUCGGGAAACCGUAGCUAAUACCGAAUAAUAUUUUGAACCGCAUGGUUCAAAAGUGAAAGACGGUCUUGCUGUCACUUAUAGAUGGAUCCGCGCUGCAUUAGCUAGUUGGUAAGGUAACGGCUUACCAAGGCAACGAUGCAUAGCCGACCUGAGAGGGUGAUCGGCCACACUGGAACUGAGACACGGUCCAGACUCCUACGGGAGGCAGCAGUAGGGAAUCUUCCGCAAUGGGCGAAAGCCUGACGGAGCAACGCCGCGUGAGUGAUGAAGGUCUUCGGAUCGGAAAACUCUGUUAUUAGGGAAGAACAUAUGUGUAAGUAACUGUGCACAUCUUGACGGUACCUAAUCAGAAAGCCACGGCUAACUACGUG
RNAcentral lists this ribosomal RNA (497 nucleotides) under uncultured bacterium. RNAcentral describes it as "partial 16S ribosomal RNA". It matches the Rfam family "Bacterial small subunit ribosomal RNA", at positions 28 to 507 of the family's 1533-position model. The record is from RNAcentral.